Molecule: long non-coding RNA, 415 nt
Organism: Sinocyclocheilus rhinocerous
Lineage: Eukaryota; Metazoa; Chordata; Actinopteri; Cypriniformes; Cyprinidae
Exons: 3
Source: RefSeq, a predicted model, not a curated record
GUUAUCUUAAUGGUUCAUUUUUUGCAAAACUGUCAUAUUUAGACGCUGAGACUCCCCUAUGUUUCAUCAGUCAGCAAUACUCGUCCGGAGUCUAUAAGCGCCUCAGCGCGGCAUAAUAUAUACAGAUAAAACAUUUAUUAUCAUUUCACACUGGAACAUGUCUGUUACAUUUUCAGCUGUGCGUCCGAGGGGGAAAGGAGAGAUCACACAACAAACCAUACAGAGGAUGCUGGAUGAAAAUCAUCAUCUGAUACAGUGCAUUAUGGACUAUCAGAGCAAAGGAAAAACAUCUGAAUGUACACAGUAUCAGCAGAUAUUGCACAGAAACUUGGUCUACCUAGCAACAAUAGCAGACUCUAAUCAGAAUAUGCAGUCUCUGUUACCAGCGGUAUGUUAUGACUGGAAGCUUUAACAG